GGUAGAUGGAACAACAAUUGACUGGAAAGUGUUCAUGCAGGUCCUAAAUUCACCAUGGGAUGUAUGCUACGAUCCCGCAGAGGAGGCCGUGUAUAUUGCAAUGGCUGGGCAACACCAGAUCUGGAAGCACAAUUUACAUGAUGGAGUAACCAAAGUUAUUAGCGGUGAUGGCUAUGAGAGGAAUCUGAAUGGCUCAAGAAAUGCAUGAGUUACUUGUUGCUGAUAGUGAAAGUAGUUCCAUUCGAGUUGUUAAUCUGAAGACAGGAGGCUCAAGAUUGCUGGCAGGAGGAGAUCCAGUAUUUCCAGAAUAUUUGUUUAGGUUUGGAGAUUAUGACGGGACUGGCUCAGAUGUGCUACUUCAACAUCCCUUGGGUGUUGUUUAUGCCAAUGACAAUCAAGUAUAUAUAGCUGAUUCCUACAACCGUAAGGUAG
Molecule: RNA transcript, 432 nt
Organism: Zea mays
Lineage: Eukaryota; Viridiplantae; Streptophyta; Magnoliopsida; Poales; Poaceae
Exons: 3
Source: RefSeq, a predicted model, not a curated record